RNAcentral lists this ribosomal RNA (497 nucleotides) under uncultured bacterium. RNAcentral's name for it is "partial 16S ribosomal RNA". It matches the Rfam family "Bacterial small subunit ribosomal RNA", at positions 28 to 507 of the family's 1533-position model. The record is from RNAcentral.
GAUGAACGCUGGCGGCGUGCCUAAUACAUGCAAGUCGAGCGAACGGACGAGAAGCUUGCUCUUCUGAUGUUAGCGGCGGACGGGUGAGUAACACGUGGAUAACCUACCUAUAAGACUGAGAUAACUUCGGGAAACCGGAGCUAAUACCGGAUAAUAUUUUGAACCGCAUGGUUCAAUAGUGAAAGACGGUCUUGCUGUCACUUAUAGAUGGAUCCGCGCUGCAUUAGCUAGUUGGUAAGGUAACGGCUUACCAAGGCAACGAUGCGUAGCCGACCUGAGAGGGUGAUCGGCCACACUGGAACUGAGACACGGUCCAGACUCCUACGGGAGGCAGCAGUAGGGAAUCUUCCGCAAUGGGCGAAAGCCUGACGGAGCAACGCCGCGUGAGUGAUGAAGGUCUUCGGAUCGUAAAACUCUGUUAUUAGGGAAGAACAAAUGUGUAAGUAACUAUGCACAUCUUGACGGUACCUAAUCAGAAAGCCACGGCUAACUACGUG